RNAcentral lists this long non-coding RNA (208 nucleotides) under Trifolium pratense (red clover). RNAcentral describes it as "long non-coding RNA (TPRA_LNC000695)". The record is from RNAcentral. Lineage: Eukaryota; Viridiplantae; Streptophyta; Magnoliopsida; Fabales; Fabaceae.
GGAGAGAUCAAAUUACACCGGUGUAACAUUUGAGUAAUGUUACACCGCUCAAUAACGCUUUAACGAAUACAAAUUUUACAAAAUUCACCGUUGGAUUGAAAGUUUAUAUCGUAUAGAUCAUCCAUAUUAAUUUUUACAAAAAUCUAAAAUCGUUUGGUAUGUUAUUGAGACCAAUCAAGAUUAAUGGUUUAUGCGUUUUUAUUGAAUA